GUACCAGUAGCUCAGCUGGAUAGAGCAACGGCCUUCUAAGCCGUGGGUCGGGGGUUCGAAUCCCUUCUGGUACA
This 74-nucleotide transfer RNA is filed under the name Clostridia bacterium. RNAcentral describes it as "tRNA-Arg". It matches the Rfam family "tRNA". From Rfam's summary of the family: Transfer RNA (tRNA) molecules are approximately 80 nucleotides in length. Their secondary structure includes four short double-helical elements and three loops (D, anti-codon, and T loops). Further hydrogen bonds mediate the characteristic L-shaped molecular structure. tRNAs have two regions of fundamental functional importance: the anti-codon, which is responsible for specific mRNA codon recognition, and the 3' end, to which the tRNAs corresponding amino acid is attached (by aminoacyl-tRNA synthetases). tRNAs cope with the degeneracy of the genetic code in two manners: having more than one tRNA (with a specific anti-codon) for a particular amino acid; and 'wobble' base-pairing, i.e. permitting non-standard base-pairing at the 3rd anti-codon position. RNAcentral also lists the same sequence under 2 other names. The record is from RNAcentral. Lineage: Bacteria; Bacillati; Bacillota; Clostridia.